UUGGCAGCUCGGGAGACUGCAGGCCUAUAUUCGCAGAACAGGGACAUCAUGGGCAGUGGCAGUGCAAACUGUCCACACCUUUAGUCCCGACAGCAUCUCAAUAUCAGCCUGGAAAGAAGGCCUUGAGGACAGAAAGUUCAGACUCUAUGGUGCAUUCAGCCCUCAGCAUCU
Molecule: unclassified non-coding RNA, 171 nt
Organism: Chelonoidis abingdonii (Abingdon island giant tortoise)
Lineage: Eukaryota; Metazoa; Chordata; Testudines; Testudinidae
Source: Ensembl